CGCACGUAGGCAUCGGGGAAGGCCUUGGUGCAGGCGACGAUCUCGCGCAGCACCUGCAUGGGGUCGCGGCAGCCGAACAUGGGCAGCUUCCACAUGGUCCAGUAGCGGUUGUCGUAGUACAGCUGCGGGCGCACGGGAAAUGGGAGGGAGAAGAGGUUCAGUCACCAGCGCACAGAACCACCAAAGAUGGAAUUGGGCCCCUUGCUUUUCCGUGCUGAAGCACGAGCAGGGGUAUGCGUCAGUUCCCCGCGGUGAGAUAGGCGCUGUCCCGGUGCCAAGCUAACCCAGUGCCACAGUGGACCCGUCUGGCUCUCGCUCCGACUUACGCAAGACACGCUGCCGAAGCGGAUGGCCGACUCGUUGGACACGUAGGCCUUGUCGGCCUCAGCGAACUCCAGGCAGGGGAUCCAGCCUGCAAGCGACAGCACGAAGGGGGUAAGAUAAGUGGCCGACGCAAGCAGUCCAGGGCUAUCCCAGAUAAGGGCGGAUGACAGGCAAACUAUACAGCAGACAACGAACAAGCUAAUCUCAAGCUUCGAGCGAUCGUAAUGUCGCAGUCUGCAGCUACGCCCUAGAUCGUAUUAACUAGCUCUCAAACACAGCCCAGCUACAUAUGCCCACGGCACCAAGCCGUGCUCACCGUUGGCGACGAUGUAGUCGACCUGGGCGGCGAUCUGCUCGUCGGUCAGAGGAGGCAGGUAGGAGAAGGUCUCGAACAUCCUGCGAUCACGCGAUUGACCAGUACUCGUUAGAAGUGGCAGAGCACGUGCGAUGUGAGGCAGCAGGCUGGGCCCCAAGCAAUUGCGUCGCGACUUGCAGAAUCCCUAUCCUUCGGGCUGCGCUUGCUCGUCGACUCACUUGUUGUUGACCGGGGUCCAGACCAUCAUCUGGUUGGCCUGAGCCGGGGCAGCCACGGGGGCAGCCUUGACGGCGGGCUUCAGCGCGGCCAUGGGGCGCACGCUGGAGCGGGCCGGGCGAGCCACGGCCGCGGAGACGGAGGACUUGGCAAUGACGGCGGCCAUUUUAGAUGUUUGAGAAAGUGGUCGAAUGAACGAGUAAGUUCUUGGGACAAAGACUCGGAGGUGGCCGGUCGCCGUUUUCAAUCCCCGCUCGCCGAUGACCCGUACGGCAGGCUUAUCCGACUCGUCGGCUUUCACGACCGCCCGAGCCUGCGCGCUUCAUCCGCUUCCGGAUAGCUUGCUACGAUAAUGCAUUAUUCAAUUUUACGACGCAAUGUCAUGAGCAGCGCCGGGCGGGCUUAUUUACAUGCGUCGCCUCGCUCGCCGUUGACUUGAUACUUUGGAAAUUCGGGCUCGAUUCGUUGCUACAGCCUGCCUUUUGCACACAAUGUGAACGUCGAUUCUACAUUUGUAUGUGACUGAACUUCGCGGCCCCUACUGAACGUUUCGUGCAAGCGACAUGUCGACUCACAACUUGGAGGAACGCGCGAGGGGUCCCCACACGCACUUUCAGCCUGCUUUGGCGAAAUGGACAUGAUAGGUAUAGCCAGGAUAUGGGUCUGCUAGCUCGCCUGGUGUUUUGACCGUCGAUCGGUUUCGCGUUGGGCCUUGCGGCUGCUCGCUCGCCGCGGAUGCUUCCGCACACUGCGCGGCACGUGUUAGUCUGUGCACGACGACGGUUUGUUUGUAUUGCGCCGCCAACGUUCAACGGUGGUGGUAGGUUCGAAUGUCAGAAUGUCGGGCACGGGGACCUUGGGCGCAUUGCCUACAAGCGCGUGCCUGUGUUUUUGGGGGGCAGAGAAGUGAGCCUGCCUAUUGGGUCACAAUAGCACAGAGGCGGGUGGCCAGCGUCGGGAACUGGUUCAGAACGGCUGCAGGGACAGCACCGUGCGUGCGUGUGUGUGUGGGGGGAGCCUUCAAAGUUGACGAGCUUCGCAGCGCUGGGAUGGACUGGCAUUGCGUGCUUGAGUUUGCGUCCCGUGAGAACCCUGCAGUUUAUGGCGGAGACAGGGAAGAGGGAAUGGGAUCGCGCCGGUGCAGGGAAAGGGCACGAAUCUGAGGUUACGGUAUCUGGGGGGAGGUGCCCAUGUGGGAGGGGAAGCCUAACUGCCUGUCUGGGUGCAGACCAGGAAUGGCAACACGUGAACGGUUAGUAGAGAGCUGUGUGCUGUUGGGCGCUCUCGGCAAGGGGCGUGGGAGGGGGCUGGGUUGGUGGGCGGCUGUCCGCACAGUGCCUAGCAGUGCGCACUCAGGCCCUUCGCAGACCGAAGAGGGCGCCAGGGCCUAUGCGCGCGUGGCUUGGCGUGAGGUUCUUGCUGUUGGCGUCAGGCGCCGCAAAAGGCCGGGUGGCUCUGCAGUGUCCUGCUCGCUUGGCGUGCGGCAAAGUGGUUCAGUCAGCGAGCGCAGUGUAUGCGUGUGUGCGUGUAUGCGUGUGCGUGCGUGUGUGUGUGUGUGUGUGUGUGUGUGUGUGUGUGUGUGUGGUUGCUGCGGAGAGGGCACGCAGCGACACGAGAUUGCCAUGCAGUGGUGCAAGCUGCUGGGGUCGGGUAAACGGGGUGGGAAAGUUGGUGAUGGUGGAAUGUUCUUGUGGCACGAACUGGCCUUGUGCGUAUUCGUUCGCCCCGUUCACUCUGGUCCACCAAUCCCACAGUCACUGCACUUAAAUGCCUAAAAGCCCCUGCUACGGUGCGGACAGGGUAAGGCCACGGCAGGUCUAAGUCCAUAUGCGCCCGUAGAGGUUCGAGUGCGUUAACCGGUCGCAAGGUGUUCACAACAUGUUGAUGUGUUGACAACAUGGCUGUGGUCAAGACGUGCCCUGCGAACUUCCCGUGUUUACAUGUUAAUAGAGCUCGCUGACAGCAGUCAUUUGACACCAUUAUGGAAGAAAACAGAGGGGAUUUAGGGGGUGUACGGCACGGUAUGGCACGGUCGGUCGUCGGUCCGGGGGGUCGGGGGGUUCUGCAGGGUGGGGCCUGGAACUAUUGUUCGUACACCCCCGCCUGGCUCCCCUGCUCCCCCUGACUAACCCCUGACCUCUGGCUUUCUUCGCUUUCCUUUCAGUGUCACCAAUUCUCAUGAGUGGGGGCGCACCCCGAAAUAAGCGGGUACGGUGCUUCAGUUCAGUGCUUGCCACGGCCUCAAGAGCCCCAAACCACGUGCACCGAAAUUCGCUUGCACUCCAAAUGCACUGGGAAGCCAGUAGCAGCGCGCUCUCAAAUGCUGGCAUGUGUCUCUCUCUGUCCAGAGCCUGAAUGCGCCAAGUCUGCUACGGUAGGAGGGUGCAACCCGUGGCCCGCCUUGAACCGCGCUUGCACACACAGCUGGAUUGCUGCUGGCAUGACCGUGUGAAAGAGGUACAGGCAGCCGGGCAAGUCCCAGCGGGCAGGUUGGUGUAGGCUAUGCCCCAUAACAGGCCCGUGCAUGCUGCCACGGACUUCUCGCCAGGAAUGUAAGUCCCGAUGCUAGACAAUUACUCCAGCAGCUGCAUGCCGCCAUCUUCAGUACUCGGUAUCCCUUGGUGCACGCAAGUCAAGGAUCAGUCCCAGGGCUCACCCUGGAGCAAUGCAGCCUGCGUGUGCACCUGCGAUGGAGCCGCGGCCUGCGGUAUUGGCUGCCCGAUUACGAAGCUGCGGGUGGGGGCAGUUGGCACGCAUUCCGCCACAGACCCCGCGAGCCUAGCCGCACCCAAGCUCUAAGCGGCCUAGACCGUGACCAAAGGCGAAGAAGCCGCGGCCAUCCCUGCGCUCAGAUUGCAUUGGUUACAAGAGGGACCUGCUGACGCAGUUCAUGGCUUCAUGCGCUCAGAGCCCGAGCCCUGAGCGGCAGCAAAAGCAGAAGCCACGCUACGUGUGCUAGCUACGACCAAUGCCUUGUACAGCUCUCCUCGGCUGCGCUCUUCGGCUGCGCUCCUCGGCUGCGCGGGACAGGGGACUCCGUGCAACCACUAUUGCUUAUAGCCUGCACCAGUCAUUGACGAGUGUUGCGGAACUAAUGCGUACGUAGACCAGAGCGGAAGGCGGAGUGGGCUUGCAGGCGGCACGAGAGUAGGCAGUCAGUAGCGCAAGUUGCGAAUUCCCAUGUUACCUCGUAACCGACGGUAAACGCUGUGGACGGUCGCGCCCAUGGCUGGCUGACGGAAGCUGGCUGCGGUAUUGGGAUGGCUGGGCUGGAUGACGCCGGCCGGGCUGGCGUUGGGACUACCAGAAAGGAUGCGCCCGAAACCAACCUGGAGAACACCAGCGCCACCGGUGCCCAGCACGACAUGUAAGGGAGGGAGGGAGGGACAGGAGGCGUGAUGCACUGCAGCGUAGAAGCUGCAGUCAUGGGCACAGCUUGUACCAUACAGCACGGUCAUCAAGGACACAAUGCCGGAACGGCAUCAUACGAGGCGGGGUUGGGAGCUGCAGGAAGUGGGCAGCGGGGCAGAAUCAAAGGUUUGCAUCGUUUAGAACAGGUGCGGAACACGCGCCAGCGCCAGCGCGGAGGACCCCAAGUAAGGCCUUUACUCACCAAUGUACGUUUUGUACACCCAAUCUCGCCCCCUAUCGACGUUGGCACUAGGUAGCUGGCUAUCAUUCUAUGCAGAUUAAGCAAAGGGGCACCGGGAACAACUGACUCAUGUUCGUCACUGCAGGUUACUGCAAAUGCUGUCUCCACCUUUGCUGCACGGUUCCGUUUCGUCACGUUUGCUGGUGUUGCUACCCGCCGUUCUUUAGUGUGUAACUGAUCUGCGAACCGAGUCCCCUUCAGCUGAUGAACCCCGCAGCAACUUUUCCAAAAGCGCUUCAAAUACGCCCAGCCCGCCCAUGGAGAAAGAGGCCAAAAUCAACGGAGGAUCGUUACAACCAACAAAAUUGCAAAACUCCUCCGCUUUUUACGUGUUGAAAAAGACUGAUCAGCACGAAACGGGGAGCUAAGCUACCGCUUCAGCACUUGAGAGCAGUAUCUUCCAUCCACCGCCGUUCGUCAGGGGGCAAGGCUCAGAUCAACGAGCGCCUCCAUUUACACGGAGCGCUUGUUGGCGGGCUGCCAGUCGCGGGCAGACUUGGGGCGCUGGACCAGGAAGCCCAUGAUCUGCACCUGCUUCUGGUUGUCGAAGGCCACCAGGCGCACGUAGGCAUCGGGGAAGGCCUUGGUGCAGGCGACGAUCUCGCGCAGCACCUGCAUGGGGUCGCGGCAGCCGAACAUGGGCAGCUUCCACAUGGUCCAGUAGCGGUU
This 5177-nucleotide long non-coding RNA is filed under the name Chlamydomonas reinhardtii. Its description in RNAcentral is "long non-coding RNA (CREI_LNC000175)". Lineage: Eukaryota; Viridiplantae; Chlorophyta; Chlorophyceae; Chlamydomonadales; Chlamydomonadaceae. The record is from RNAcentral.